AUUGAACGCUAGCGGCAUGCUUUACACAUGCAAGUCGAACGGCAGCGGGGAGUAGCUUGCUACUCUGCCGGCGAGUGGCGAACGGGUGAGUAAUGCAUCGGGACGUUCCCAGUAGUGGGGGAUAACUUAGCGAAAGCUCGGCUAAUACCGCAUACGCACUGAGGUGGAAAGCGGGGGAUUGCAUGUCAUCCCGCUUAUGGCGCGACCGAUGUGCGAUUAGCUAGUUGGUGGGGUAAAGGCCUACCAAGGCGACGAUCGGUAGCUGGUCUGAGAGGACGACCAGCCACACUGGGACUGAGACACGGCCCAGACUUCUACGGAAGGCAGCAGUGGGGAAUUUUGGACAAUGGGCGAAAGCCUGAUCCAGCCAUGCCGCGUGAGUGAAGAAGGCCUUCGGGUUGUAAAGCUCUUUUGGCGGGGAAGAAAUAGCGUGGGCUAAUACCCUGCGUUGAUGACGGUACCCGCAGAAUAAGCACCGGCUAACUACGUGCCAGCCGCCGCGGUAA
RNAcentral lists this ribosomal RNA (506 nucleotides) under uncultured bacterium. RNAcentral describes it as "partial 16S ribosomal RNA". It matches the Rfam family "Bacterial small subunit ribosomal RNA", at positions 30 to 523 of the family's 1533-position model. The record is from RNAcentral.